Molecule: ribosomal RNA, 445 nt
Filed under: uncultured Anaerolineaceae bacterium
Lineage: Bacteria; Bacillati; Chloroflexota; Anaerolineae; Anaerolineales; Anaerolineaceae
Description: bacterial SSU rRNA
Rfam family: Bacterial small subunit ribosomal RNA
Source: RNAcentral
GCACAAGCAGCGGAGCGUGUGGUUUAAUUCGUUGCUACACGAAGAACUUACCUGGGUUUGACAUAUAGGUUGUAGGGAACGUGAAAAGGGACCGACCCUUCGGGGAGCCUAUACAGGUGUUGCAUGGCUGUCGUCAGCUCGUGUCGUGAGAUGUUCGGUUAAGUCCGCUAACGAGCGCAACCCUCGUCGUAUGUUAUAUGUGUCAUACGAGACUGCCGGUAAAAGCCGGAGGAAGGUGAGGAUGAUGUCAAGUCAGCAUGACCUUUAUAUCCAGGGCUACACACACGCUACAAUGGUCUGUACAAUGGGUAGCCAAGCCGCGAGGCGGAGCCAAUCCUGAAAGCAGGCCUCAGUUCAGAUUGCAGUCUGCAACUCGACUGCAUGAAGCCGGAGUUGCUAGUAACCGCAGGUCAGCAAUACUGCGGUGAAUACGUUCCCGGGUCUU